Molecule: ribosomal RNA, 499 nt
Filed under: uncultured bacterium
Lineage: Bacteria
Description: partial 16S ribosomal RNA
Rfam family: Bacterial small subunit ribosomal RNA
Source: RNAcentral
GAUGAACGCUGGCGGCGUGCCUAAUACAUGCAAGUCGAGCGAACAGACGAGAGUGCUUGCACUCUCUGACGUUAGCGGCGGACGGGUGAGUAACACGUGGGUAACCUACCUAUAAGACUGGGAUAACUUCGGGAAACCGGAGCUAAUACCGGAUAAUAUUUAGCUUCGCAUGAAGCAAUAGUGAAAGACGGUUCUGCUGUCACUGAUAGAUGGACCCGCGGUGUAUUAGCUAGUUGGUGAGGUAACGGCUCACCAAGGCAACGAUACAUAGCCGACCUGAGAGGGUGAUCGGCCACACUGGGACUGAGACACGGCCCAGACUCCUACGGGAGGCAGCAGUAGGGAAUCUUCCGCAAUGGACGAAAGUCUGACGGAGCAAUGCCGCGUGAGUGAAGAAGGUUUUCGGAUCGUAAAACUCUGUUGUAAGGGAAGAACAAGUACGUUAGUAACUGAACGUACCUUGACGGUACCUUACCAGAAAGCCACGGCUAACUACGUG